RNAcentral lists this ribosomal RNA (567 nucleotides) under uncultured fungus. RNAcentral describes it as "eukaryotic LSU rRNA". It matches the Rfam family "Eukaryotic large subunit ribosomal RNA", at positions 74 to 655 of the family's 3401-position model. The record is from RNAcentral. Lineage: Eukaryota; Fungi.
AUUACCUCAGUAACGGCGAGUGAAGCGGUAACAGCUCAAAUUUGAAAUCUGGGUCUUUCAGGCUCCGAGUUGUAAUUUGUAGAAGAUGCUUCGGGUGCGGCUCCGGUCUAAGUUCCUUGGAACAGGACGUCAUAGAGGGUGAGAAUCCCGUAUGUAAUCGGUUGCUUGCGCCCAUGUGAAGCUCUUUCGACGAGUCGAGUUGUUUGGGAAUGCAGCUCAAAAUGGGUGGUAAAUUUCAUCUAAAGCUAAAUAUUGGCCAGAGACCGAUAGCGCACAAGUAGAGUGAUCGAAAGAUGAAAAGCACUUUGGAAAGAGAGUUAAACAGUACGUGAAAUUGUUGAAAGGGAAGCGCUUGCAACCAGACUUGCGCGUUGCCGAUCAUCCGGGGUUCUCCCCGGUGCACUCGGCUUCGCUCAGGCCAGCAUCGGUUUCGGUGGUGGGAUAAAGGCCUUGGGAAUGUAGCUUCUUUCGGGGAGUGUUAUAGCCCUCGGUGCAAUGCCGCCUACCGGGACCGAGGACCGCGCUUCGGCUAGGAUGCUGGCGUAAUGGUUGUAAGCGACCCGUCUG